GACGAACGCUGGCGGCGUGCUUAACACAUGCAAGUCGAACGGUAAGGCCCUUUCGGGGGUACACGAGUGGCGAACGGGUGAGUAACACGUGGGUGAUCUGCCCUGCACUUUGGGAUAAGCCUGGGAAACUGGGUCUAAUACCGGAUAGGACUACGCGAUGCAUGUCGUGUGGUGGAAAGCUUUUGCGGUGUGGGAUGGGCCCGCGGCCUAUCAGCUUGUUGGUGGGGUGAUGGCCUACCAAGGCGACGACGGGUAGCCGGCCUGAGAGGGUGUCCGGCCACACUGGGACUGAGAUACGGCCCAGACUCCUACGGGAGGCAGCAGUGGGAAUAUUGCACAAUGGGCGCAAGCCUGAUGCAGCGACGCCGCGUGGGGGAUGACGGCCUUCGGGUUGUAAACCCCUUUCAGCACAGACGAAGCGUAAGUGACGGUAUGUGCAGAAGAAGCACCGGCCAACUACGU
Molecule: ribosomal RNA, 462 nt
Filed under: uncultured bacterium
Lineage: Bacteria
Description: partial 16S ribosomal RNA
Rfam family: Bacterial small subunit ribosomal RNA
Source: RNAcentral